This 1434-nucleotide long non-coding RNA is filed under the name Equus caballus (horse). Its description in RNAcentral is "lncRNA (ENSECAG00000045625.1)". Lineage: Eukaryota; Metazoa; Chordata; Mammalia; Perissodactyla; Equidae. The record is from RNAcentral.
UUCAUAUACCGAAGGGGAUUUUUUUUUUAAUGACCUCAGGAUAUUUAUUUUUUAUCCUGAGGAAAAACUUUGUUCUGCUUUAUAUGAAUAGUAGAGAUCCUUUGUACUAUAAGUGAUUCUGCCAAAAAUUCUGAGACUUAUCCAUAAUUAUGCCAUUAGGAGCAAAAUCUUAGGGCGGGCCUAGUUUACCACUUAGAAAUAGUUAACUAAAUUCCAAGGAAAAAAGUCUUGUGUUGUAACUGACUAUUAUUUCUUAAAUAAUAAUACUGAGAGUUUAUGUUCUUUUUAAAUUAGUUUGUCAACUCCUUUUUUCCUUGGCUUUUGAAGAAUGCUCACUGAGGUGAUACUUUUUAAUUUUGAAAGACUAAUUUUAAUCAGGACUUCCUAAUCUUCCAGUCUGAUCUGUUCUAUUCACUAGUUGUUACUUAGCUCCAUGAACAUUCUACUUGUUGAAAUCGUGAUACGAGGAUCUUGGAACUUUAAUUGAAUGUUCUUUUGUUGUGUAGUUUUCAAAAUUUCUUUCAUCUUUGAAAAUAUUUCCAAGAUAAAAUAUUAUCUUCUGUGAAAAUUCCUAUUGUUCUCUUAUAAUAAUCUAAAAGUCAGUGUUUCUCUGUUUUUUCAUCAGGCACUUACAUUAGAAUUAAUUGGAGGUCCUAUUUUCUUAAGUGCACAUUUGGGGCUAUAUUCUCAGUCAUUCUUAGUCAGUCAUUUUGGAAUGAGACCUGAUACUUAUGUUCAGUGAAAUCUAAGAACCUCUGUCUAGGACUUUAUUCUUCUUCUUAUGAAUACCUUAGGAAAUAAAACAAAGAUCCAAUGUAAUAUAAGUGGGCAUUCUUGUUUGUUACUUUUCUAAGAAUAUUUCACUUUGUCUUACCAGGCUUUUGACUAGUUUUAAUAGCUGCCAUCCUAUAUCCAAAAGAAGCCCUCUGGGAAAAAUAUUUUGUGGAGAAACCUUGUAAUUGUGCUUUCCAGAUUUUACAGUGGUAUUUUGACUGUAUAAUUCUUGUUAGGAGUAAUAUCCUAACAGCUUUUAAUAUGAACAUUUCCAUAGUUUGUUUUAAAUGUAGUAUUAACAUAAGAAUGCAUGAAAAACGCUAUUUAUUUGGGUCACUCUUGAGCACAGGAUUUUUAUGCUUUGCCUACAGUUAGAAAAGUCAUGGCAAUAAAGAUCUGGUGACAGUUACUGUAUUUUAAAUCCCUUUUUUCCAGCUUUCAUUAAAACUGCUUAUCUUCUCUAGGGCCAGACUCUUGCUGGUCUUUGAUUUACAGUCCUCUGCUUAUUUUUACAGGUUGUCUGUAUUAUCUGACUUCUUAAGUCCUCAUUAAAACUAAUUGUACUUAACAGUGUCUAAUGAAAUAAUCAGGAACUGAUGCAUUGACUCAAGUUUGAUUUCUGAAGUUACUGAAGACAGGCAAGUUGGGAGAAACACAUUU